ACAUGGAACCCGACGCAAGAGCAUGGGGACCCGACUUACUAUCGUACCCCCGACACUGCGCCGGACGAUGAUCGACUAAGUGCAUCUACGGAAGUCCGGCUGCCGAACCUUUGCCAGGUUCGGUCGGCUCCCGACUCGACAGAUGGACCCGACUGACAACUUCGACUACCCGAAGCCGACCUAAAGUCGGGACACAUUCUACUUUCAGGGCUAUGCAAGUUGUCGGAGUCCUACCGACUCAUGUGGGUUAGUGGCUUACUUAAGUUAGCGACUAAAGUUCGACAUCGCAGCUAUAGCCGGCAUUACAAAUAACAAGGAGAGAAAGGAAGAAGUUUCAUUCAUUGAUGAAAAGGAAUUACAGAGUCGGGUCGAAGCCCGAUUACAUGUAUUUUCAAAAAGAAACAAAAAGGGAAGACGGUCGGCUG
Molecule: long non-coding RNA, 425 nt
Filed under: Elaeis guineensis (African oil palm)
Lineage: Eukaryota; Viridiplantae; Streptophyta; Magnoliopsida; Arecales; Arecaceae
Description: long non-coding RNA (EGUI_LNC080086)
Source: RNAcentral